This 688-nucleotide ribosomal RNA is filed under the name uncultured bacterium. RNAcentral describes it as "bacterial SSU rRNA". It matches the Rfam family "Bacterial small subunit ribosomal RNA", at positions 813 to 1500 of the family's 1533-position model. The record is from RNAcentral.
CGACUUGGAGGUUGUUCCCUUGAGGAGUGGCUUCCGGAGCUAACGCGUUAAGUCGACCGCCUGGGGAGUACGGCCGCAAGGUUAAAACUCAAAUGAAUUGACGGGGGCCCGCACAAGCGGUGGAGCAUGUGGUUUAAUUCGAUGCAACGCGAAGAACCUUACCUACUCUUGACAUCCAGCGAACUUGGCAGAGAUGCCUUGGUGCCUUCGGGAACGCUGAGACAGGUGCUGCGUGGCUGUCGUCAGCUCGUGUUGUGAAAUGUUGGGUUAAGUCCCGCAACGAGCGCAACCCUUAUCCUUUGUUGCCAGCGAGUCAUGUCGGGAACUCAAAGGAGACUGCCGGUGAUAAACCGGAGGAAGGUGGGGAUGACGUCAAGUCAUCAUGGCCCUUACGAGUAGGGCUACACACGUGCUACAAUGGCGCAUACAAAGAGAAGCGACCUCGCGAGAGCAAGCGGACCUCACAAAGUGCGUCGUAGUCCGGAUCGGAGUCUGCAACUCGACUCCGUGAAGUCGGAAUCGCUAGUAAUCGUGGAUCAGAAUGCCACGGUGAAUACGUUCCCGGGCCUUGUACACACCGCCCGUCACACCAUGGGAGUGGGUUGCAAAAGAAGUAGGUAGCUUAACCUUCGGGAGGGCGCUUACCACUUUGUGAUUCAUGACUGGGGUGAAGUCGUAACAAGGUAGC